UUGGAGGUAGUGACAAUAAAUCACAAUGCGGGACUAUCAGUCUUGCAAUUGGAUUGAGAACAAUGUACAACUCUUAUCGAUAAGCCAUUGGAGGGCAAGUCUGGUGCCAGCAGCCGCGGUAAUUCCAGCUCCAAUAGCGUAUAUUAACGUUGUUGCAGUUAAAAAGCUCGUAGUUGAAGUGUGGGUGAUCGCUGUUGUGAGACUUCGGUCUCUCGACAGUAAGUCACCCCCUUCCAGUAUCCAGUAGUGGGUAUUCAGUUACUUACUAUUGUGUGUUGGUCCUUUACUGUGAGAAAAUUAGAGUGUUCAAAGCAGGCGUUUGCUUGAAUAGAUUAGCAUGGAAUAAUAAUUGAAGGCUUUCGUGUUCGAUUUGAUUGGUUUGUUCAUGGAAGCAAGGUUAAAAGGAACAGUUGGGGGUAUUCAUAUUCACUAGUUAGAGGUGAAAUUCUCGGAUUUGUGGAAGAUGAACAAGUGCGCAAGCAAU
This 484-nucleotide ribosomal RNA is filed under the name Blastocystis sp. subtype 1. Its description in RNAcentral is "SSU rRNA". It matches the Rfam family "Eukaryotic small subunit ribosomal RNA", at positions 458 to 955 of the family's 1831-position model. The record is from RNAcentral. Lineage: Eukaryota; Bigyra; Opalinata; Blastocystidae.